CGGUGACAGCGUGAUGGAGGCUGUAAUUUUCAUCUUGCGAUGUCUGCCUUUUCUCACCCUCCUGAUGGCCGUGUUCUACCGGUGCAGGACUGAGACGAAAGCUGCAGCUCCAGAGAACAAGGUUCAGGAAGGUUCUGUAAAAGAGGAUGAAGAGGAAGACGAAGCUCUGAAUGAGUCUUCCACUUUGCUCCUGGAGGCCGCAGCACCUGCAGAUGCUGAGGUGGCGGACGGAAGUAUUGGGGUUUCCUGCUCCGCUCCUUCCUCGGAUGUCCCAAACCAAGACUGAAGAGUGUGGGGAAUUACCGUGGCAUCAUACAUUGAUCCAGGUAUGAAACGUAAGUCACUGAUUUCACAGAUUGGGCUGUGUUAUCAGUGACUUACUCUUCAUACAUGGGUCAGAUAAUGAGUUGACUGCCAGUAAGAAAAAUCUUUCAGAUUACUCAAAUUUUUUUUACAAUAAGCCUUUCAUUAUGAAACAUUCAGAACACAAUUCUUACUUCAUGUACCAUUUUGUUAUGAUUUCUUUUGGCAGUCACUUUGGGUUAGGGACAUGUUUGGCUCAAAAUCCUCAGGGAUCUGCAGAAUAUUUUCACAUUUUACCAGCAUCUGAAGAGUUAAUGUAUAUUAAUAGCAUAUUUGUAAAUCAAGCUCAUUGCUGCAAACCUCCUCUAUCAAUUCUGGAGAGUGCGGACUGGCAAACCUUCUCCUCUGCAGCACAUGAAGGAAGUUGCUGCUUUUUUUCUCAUCAGAACCUACCCACGCUCACAGUUAUUUACGGCACUUUUAGUGACACCUCCUUAGGACAUUUUGACACCUCUUCAAAAUGCAGGGUUACCCUGAGUUUUUUGUUCCACAGUAAUGGCUGUGAUGUGACCUGUUUAAUGUGCUGUAUGACAACAGCAUAUGUUUGUAACCGUAUUACACUUUCUUUUAUUUUUUACACCUUUGUAAAAAAAUUGUAAUGGAUGUGACCAAUAAAAACAGCAGAAUUGUA
Long non-coding RNA from Anguilla anguilla (European eel), 994 nucleotides. RefSeq lists it as uncharacterized. Lineage: Eukaryota; Metazoa; Chordata; Actinopteri; Anguilliformes; Anguillidae. The transcript has 2 exons. The record is from RefSeq and is a predicted model, not a curated record.